AAUAAAAUAAAAUCUGGAAGUGAGGAAAGACAUCACAUCCAACCCGCAUUCCUGUCCCUCACAACUGAAAGGAUGGACUUUUUCAACAUCUUUAGUUGUUAUAUCAUAAUGAUGUCACACACUGAUAAAAUUUAUGAUGAUAAUCAUUGUAGUUACAUUGUGGUCACAGUAUGUUUGUGAUGUCAUCCCUACCUCAUGCUUUGCAAUAUCAACACCAAUUUAGAAUAACAGGCUGAAGGAUUUAAAAUUAUGACUCAAAAAUGCCCUAUCCAUGGGGCAGUUUUAACUCAGAAUAGCCUAUAUUACUUGUUGGGACCCUGAAAAGUUCAGUACCAACAAGUCAAAUGGUGUGGGAAACCUUUGCAGAACACUCUGAUAGAAAGAACAAUGCCAAUAUGCCCAAUCCUUUGGGGCAAUUGUGAUUUUAGUUAUUCUAUAUUAGAUGUAGUAUCAUGGGAAGUUACCUUGCAACAUUUGGUCCCAAUAGGUCAAAUAGUGUGGGAGUCUAUGCAGAACAAAAAACAAACAGAGAGAAAGACAGUCAAACAUUGUAUUUUAUAUAUAUGUAUGUAUGUUACACUCAAGGACUGAAAUUGCACAAUGACCGAGGGAGCAAUUGCAGCGCAUUUUGGCUGGUUCCAAAUGACCAAACAACAAUGCUCAACAUUAUUUCACUUCAUGGCCAUU
RNAcentral lists this long non-coding RNA (687 nucleotides) under Androctonus crassicauda. The record is from RNAcentral. Lineage: Eukaryota; Metazoa; Arthropoda; Arachnida; Scorpiones; Buthidae.